CACAUCAUUUCAUAACAACAAAUAUGUUUUUUGAAAGCCUAAUUUAAGGCUUGUUUUGUCUAGAUCGCCUGAAGGCUUGGAAUCAUCAUCUGAAGAAAGAGA
This 102-nucleotide unclassified non-coding RNA is filed under the name Bartonella sp. RNAcentral's name for it is "partial 16S-23S ribosomal RNA intergenic spacer". Lineage: Bacteria; Pseudomonadati; Pseudomonadota; Alphaproteobacteria; Hyphomicrobiales; Bartonellaceae. The record is from RNAcentral.